RNAcentral lists this long non-coding RNA (1243 nucleotides) under Apteryx rowi (Okarito brown kiwi). RNAcentral describes it as "lncRNA (ENSARWG00000000335.1)". Lineage: Eukaryota; Metazoa; Chordata; Aves; Apterygiformes; Apterygidae. The record is from RNAcentral.
AUGCCAGAGCGCCUUCAAUUUAUUCUGUUAUUCAGGUUUAGCAUCCAUGAUGCACUGGCUCUGCCCUGGUCAGAAAUGAGAUGUGUUACACUUUACUUAAGGCAAGAGAAACCGUGUCCUCAGCACCUUGUUCUUGGCUGUUUUACUCCCGUUAUCAGUAAUGCACAUUCAGCUUGUUCUUCCACCCUGGCUCGAUGUUACAAAUUCAAAGGCAGCGCACUGAGCCCAGCUCUGGCAACCUCACUGACUGACGUUUGUUUUUUAGUGACUGUUAUGCUGGAGGAAGGUGUUCCCUGGACGGUUUUGGAGACAGAAGUGCUGUUUUUGCUAGAGCAGCAAACUGGACUGCAAAAAGCAUUGCCGAAAAGAGCAGCAGAGAAGCUGCCUCUGAGCCUGGGAAACCCCUUCAGAGCUAUAGAGAUCGCACACAGGAAACAAGCACGGCUCCGCUUGUAAGGUGAGUCAGCAUUUUGGGGUGAUUAAAAACGCUUUGCUGGAUGACUUACGUUGUUAUUAGGCCUGUGCAUCUUUUACAUCCUUGCAGCAUAGCAAGUCAGACAGAACAAAUGAAAUAGCUAGUGAUUGUAUGACGAAAAAGAAGGCCUGGUGAUGGAGAUCCCCAGUGAUAUUUUGCUGUUUCUGAGGACAUAGGCAAGGUAGGAUUUUUAACUAGUGAUGAUAUGUUUGUAAAAACUAGAUAAGCUUUCAGAAAUACAAAACCUUCUCUUAGAUACGUAUCAAUUAUAUCACACUUAACUAAACUCUCAACAGUUGUUCUCAGCUUGCGCUUAGUUUGGAGACCUGCUGCUUCCAUUUCAGACCUGAUGGAAGACUUGUGUGCCUGAAAGCUUGCCUAAUUCCUAGCUCUACUGGUUGCUCUAAUAAGAGAAAUUGCCUCCUAUUUACAAAACUUGUUGAGAAACAGGGAUGGCAAUACCUUGUUCUAUUCAAGGUCUUUCCUGUUCAUCCCUAGCAAAAUCCGAAAGUUGGAGUUUUGCUCUACAUUCCCCAAAAUAAUGUGAAGAUAGGAUAAUAGUAGAAAGAUCCUGUUAAUACUUUGCUUGGAAUCCAGAGCAGACUUCCAGUUAUUUCCUAAAACUCCAGGGAGUACCACUGUAACUUUGAGGAGCACAAAACUCGCAUUCUUUGUUCCAGCUUGCUCCACAGUCUCAGUGUUGUGCUGCUUAAUUUCUGAAGGGGAAAAGAACAACCGAGGGAGAUUUCAGGGACUCAGUGUUUUUUC